CCUACGGGGGGCUGCAGUGGGGAAUAUUGCACAAUGGGGGAAACCCUGAUGCAGCGACGCCGCGUGAGUGAAGAAGUAUUUCGGUACGUAAAGCUCUAUCAGCAGGGAAGAAAAAAAGUCCUUUGGACUUUGGACGGUACCUGACUAAGAAGCCCCGGCUAACUACGUGCCAGCAGCCGCGGUAAUACGUAGGGGGCAAGCGUUAUCCGGAUUUCAUGGGUGUAAAGGGAGCGUAGACGGCGAUGCAAGCCAGGAGUGAAAGCCCGGGGCCCAACCCCGGGACUGCUCUUGGAACUGCGUGGCUGGAGUGCAGGAGGGGCAGGCGGAAUUCCUGGUGUAGCGGUGAAAUGCGUAGAUAUCAGGAGGAACACCGGUGGCGAAGGCGGCCUGCUGGACUGCAACUGACGUUGAGGCCCGAAAGCGUGGGGAGCAAACAGGAUUAGAUACCCGAGUAGUC
Molecule: ribosomal RNA, 457 nt
Filed under: uncultured bacterium
Lineage: Bacteria
Description: partial 16S ribosomal RNA
Rfam family: Bacterial small subunit ribosomal RNA
Source: RNAcentral